AAGCUUGCUUGUUGGGGUUGUAGGACACUCUAUACGGAGUUACAAAGGACGACAUUAGACGAAUCAUCUGGAAAGAUGAAUCAAAGAAGGUAAUAAUCCUGUAGUCGAAAAUGUUGUCUCUCUUGAGUGGAUCCUGAGUACGACGGAGCACGUGAAAUUCCGUCGGAAUCUGGGAGGACCAUCUCCUAAGGCUAAAUACUCUCUAGUGACCGAUAGUGAACCAGUACCGUGAGGGAAAGGUGAAAAGCACCCCGGAAGGGGAGUGAAAUAGAACCUGAAACCGUGUGCUUACAAGUAGUCAGAGCCCGUUAAUGGGUGAUGGCGUGCCUUUUGUAGAAUGAACCGGCGAGUUACGAUUUGAUGCAAGGUUAAGCAGUAAAUGUGGAGCCGUAGCGAAAGCGAGUCUGAAUAGGGCGUUUAGUAUUUGGUCGUAGACCCGAAACCAGGUGAUCUACCCUUGGUCAGGUUGAAGUUCAGGUAACACUGAAUGGAGGACCGAACCGACUUACGUUGAAAAGUGAGCGGAUGAACUGAGGGUAGCGGAGAAAUUCCAAUCGAACCUGGAGAUAGCUGGUUCUCUCCGAAAUAGCUUUAGGGCUAGCCUCAAGUGAUGAUUAUUGGAGGUAGAGCACUGUUUGGACGAGGGGCCCCUCUCGGGUUACCGAAUUCAGACAAACUCCGAAUGCCAAUUAAUUUAACUUGGGAGUCAGAACAUGGGUGAUAAGGUCCGUGUUCGAAAGGGAAACAGCCCAGACCACCAGCUAAGGUCCCAAAAUAUAUGUUAAGUGGAAAAGGAUGUGGCGUUGCCCAGACAACUAGGAUGUUGGCUUAGAAGCAGCCAUCAUUUAAAGAGUGCGUAAUAGCUCACUAGUCGAGUGACACUGCGCCGAAAAUGUACCGGGGCUAAACAUAUUACCGAAGCUGUGGAUUGUCCUUUGGACAAUGGUAGGAGAGCGUUCUAAGGGCGUUGAAGCAUGAUCGUAAGGACAUGUGGAGCGCUUAGAAGUGAGAAUGCCGGUGUGAGUAGCGAAAGACGGGUGAGAAUCCCGUCCACCGAUUGACUAAGGUUUCCAGAGGAAGGCUCGUCCGCUCUGGGUUAGUCGGGUCCUAAGCUGAGGCCGACAGGCGUAGGCGAUGGAUAACAGGUUGAUAUUCCUGUACCACCUAUAAUCGUUUUAAUCGAUGGGGGGACGCAGUAGGAUAGGCGAAGCGUGCGAUUGGAUUGCACGUCUAAGCAGUAAGGCUGAGUAUUAGGCAAAUCCGGUACUCGUUAAGGCUGAGCUGUGAUGGGGAGAAGACAUUGUGUCUUCGAGUCGUUGAUUUCACACUGCCGAGAAAAGCCUCUAGAUAGAAAAUAGGUGCCCGUACCGCAAACCGACACAGGUAGUCAAGAUGAGAAUUCUAAGGUGAGCGAGCGAACUCUCGUUAAGG
This 1431-nucleotide ribosomal RNA is filed under the name Staphylococcus aureus. Its description in RNAcentral is "bacterial LSU rRNA". It matches the Rfam family "Bacterial large subunit ribosomal RNA", at positions 280 to 1710 of the family's 2925-position model. Lineage: Bacteria; Bacillati; Bacillota; Bacilli; Caryophanales; Staphylococcaceae. The record is from RNAcentral.